This 688-nucleotide ribosomal RNA is filed under the name Pentaplaris doroteae. RNAcentral describes it as "eukaryotic LSU rRNA". The stretch from base 288 to 443 matches the Rfam family "5.8S ribosomal RNA". The record is from RNAcentral. Lineage: Eukaryota; Viridiplantae; Streptophyta; Magnoliopsida; Malvales; Malvaceae.
CCUGCCCAGCAGAACGACCCGCGGACGCGUUAUCGAACAACACCACGAGGGGGCGCGGACGCAUCCGUGCCCCUCGCCCCCUCGAUGCCUCGGAACGCUCGACCCUGCCUCGCCGYGCCUCCCGGGCAGGCGAGAUGCCGGGUCUCGUCGCUCCCGGCAGAACGAACAACCCCCGGCACGAAUCGUGCCAAGGAAUCGGAAUGAAAAAAGGGCACGUUCGCUCUCGCCGCUCCGUUCGCGGUGUCGUGCGGCAGCAACGCGGCUCCUUUGUCGUGAAAAUACAAAACGACUCUCGGCAACGGAUAUCUCGGCUCUCGCAUCGAUGAAGAACGUAGCGAAAUGCGAUACUUGGUGUGAAUUGCAGAAUCCCGUGAACCAUCGAGUCUUUGAACGCAAGUUGCGCCCNAAGCCAUUAGGCCGAGGGCACGUCUGCCUGGGUGUCACGCAUCGUCGCCCCCCCCAUCGGGCCCCUCGGGCUCCGAUCGAAGGGUGGCGGAAAUUGGCCUCCCGUGCGCUCCCCGCUCACGGUUGGCCCAAAAUAGAGUCCUCGAUGGCGAUAGCNCCGCGACGAUCGGUGGUAAUGCUCCGAGCUGCCUCGUGGGAAGUAGCGUGCGCUCGUCGUUUCGGACCCCCGGACCCCUUUCGCACCGCGAGAACGGUGCUCGCGUCGCGACCCCAGGUCAGGCGG